AGCUUUGCACAGUGGCAGUAUUGUAGCCAGUGAGGUUUAUCUGAGACAUGAUUAUUGCUAAUUAAAUAAAAUACUAAAAG
RNAcentral lists this small nuclear RNA (80 nucleotides) under Chinchilla lanigera (long-tailed chinchilla). RNAcentral describes it as "U4 spliceosomal RNA (ENSCLAG00000020552.1)". It matches the Rfam family "U4 spliceosomal RNA", at positions 1 to 80 of the family's 138-position model. From Rfam's summary of the family: U4 small nuclear RNA (U4 snRNA) is a component of the major U2-dependent spliceosome. The structure of U4 snRNA from yeast and human has been reported. The record is from RNAcentral. Lineage: Eukaryota; Metazoa; Chordata; Mammalia; Rodentia; Chinchillidae.